GUGGUAAUGCCGGAUGCUCCAGUUGAUCGCAUGGUCUUCUGGGAAAGCCUUUGCGGCAUGGGAUGGGGUCGCGUCCUAUCAGCUUGAUGGCGGGGUAACGGCCCACCAUGGCUUCGACGGGUAGCCGGCCUGAGAGGGCGACCGGCCACAUUGGGACUGAGAUACGGCCCAGACUCCUACGGGAGGCAGCAGUGGGGAAUAUUGCACAAUGGGCGCAAGCCUGAUGCAGCGACGCCGCGUGAGGGAUGGAGGCCUUCGGGUUGUAAACCUCUUUUGUUAGGGAGCAAGGCAUUUUGUGUUGAGUGUACCUUUCGAAUAAGCACCGGCUAACUACGUGCCAGCAGCCGCGGUAAUACGUAGGGUGCAAGCGUUAUCCGGAAUUAUUGGGCGUAAAGGGCUCGUAGGCGGUUCGUCGCGUCCGGUGUGAAAGUCCAUCGCUUAACGGUGGAUCCGCGCCGGGUACGGGCGGGCUUGAGUGCGGUAGGGGAGACUGGAAUUCCCGGUGUAACGGUGGAAUGUGUAGAUAUCG
RNAcentral lists this ribosomal RNA (529 nucleotides) under Bifidobacterium breve. Its description in RNAcentral is "bacterial SSU rRNA". It matches the Rfam family "Bacterial small subunit ribosomal RNA", at positions 160 to 699 of the family's 1533-position model. Lineage: Bacteria; Bacillati; Actinomycetota; Actinomycetes; Bifidobacteriales; Bifidobacteriaceae. The record is from RNAcentral.